This 429-nucleotide ribosomal RNA is filed under the name Sycettusa hirsutissima. RNAcentral describes it as "partial large subunit ribosomal RNA". Lineage: Eukaryota; Metazoa; Porifera; Calcarea; Leucosolenida; Heteropiidae. The record is from RNAcentral.
UAAAAGCACGUGAAACCGUUGAAAGGGAAACGCGCUCGGCUAGCAAUGCGCGUCUGUGGUUCAGCCGGCUAGUCUUGUCGAGUUGCCGUUGUGUGGAUCCGAAUGGACUACCUGCGGUGGCGGCGGUGGGCGAGCUAUGGUGCACUCCACGGGCGUGCGCGUCAGCGUCGGUUCUCGACGGGCGACAAGGUGCGUGGAAAAGGUAGCUCGGUCUUCGGACGGAGUGUUACAGAUCCGUGCGCUGGGUCCGUCGUGGGACCGAGGAGAGAGAUGAUCGCUGCGGCACCUGCCUCUCGGGGCUAGCCAGCUGUUGCCAGGUGUGCGCCAGAUGCUGAGGACUGCACGCAGUGCUCGGUGUUGAGGUGUGAUCUGGUGGUGGUGUGGGUAUAGAGGUGCCUAGGACGCUGGCGUCCAAAUGGCCGUGCGCGA